UACGGGGGGGGCAAGCGUUGUUCGGAAUUACUGGGCGUAAAGGGCUCGUAGGUGGCCAACUAAGUCAGACGUGAAAUCCCUCGGCUUAACCGGGGAACUGCGUCUGAUACUGGAUGGCUAGAGUUUGGGAGAGGGAUGCGGAAUUCCAGGUGUAGCGGUGAAAUUCGUAGAUAUUCGGCGGAACACCAGUGGCGAAGGCGACUCACUGGCCCGAUACUGACGCUGAGGCGCGAAAGCGUGGGGAGCAAACAGG
RNAcentral lists this ribosomal RNA (253 nucleotides) under uncultured bacterium. RNAcentral's name for it is "partial 16S ribosomal RNA". It matches the Rfam family "Bacterial small subunit ribosomal RNA", at positions 524 to 776 of the family's 1533-position model. The record is from RNAcentral.